Physeter macrocephalus (sperm whale) is the source of this 2998-nucleotide RNA transcript. It is a transcript of the gene named SKI proto-oncogene, with no coding region annotated. The transcript is spliced from 8 exons. NCBI's taxonomy places the organism in Eukaryota, Metazoa, Chordata, Mammalia, Artiodactyla, Physeteridae. The record is from RefSeq and is a predicted model, not a curated record.
CGCGGGAGCGGGAGCGGCCUGGGGAGCCGGAGCGCACCAUGGAGGCGGCGGCGGGCGGCCGCGGCGGCUUCCAGCCGCACCCGGGGCUGCAGAAGACGCUGGAGCAGUUCCACCUGAGCUCCAUGAGCUCGCUGGGCGGCCCGGCCGCCUUCUCGGCGCGCUGGGCGCAGGAGGCCUACAAGAAGGAGAGCUCCAAGGAGGCGGGCGCGGCUGCGGUGCCGGCGCCGGUGCCCGCGGCUGCCGAGCCGCCGCCGGUGCUGCACCUGCCCACCAUCCAGCCGCCGCCGCCCGUGCUGCCCGGGCCCUUCUUCAUGCCGUCCGACCGCUCCACAGAGCGUUGCGAGACCGUGCUGGAGGGCGAGACCAUCUCGUGCUUCGUGGUGGGCGGCGAGAAGCGCCUCUGUUUGCCGCAGAUCCUCAACUCGGUGCUGCGCGACUUCUCGCUGCAGCAGAUCAACUCGGUGUGCGACGAGCUGCACAUCUACUGCUCGCGCUGCACGGCCGACCAGCUGGAGAUCCUCAAAGUCAUGGGCAUCCUGCCCUUCUCGGCGCCCUCGUGCGGGCUCAUCACCAAGACGGACGCUGAGCGCCUGUGCAACGCGCUGCUGUACGGCGGCGCCUACCCGCCGCCCUGCAAGAAGGAGCUGGCGGCCAGCCUGGCGCUGGGCCUGGAGCUCAGCGAGCGCAGCGUGCGCGUGUACCACGAGUGCUUCGGCAAGUGCAAGGGGCUGCUGGUGCCCGAGCUCUACAACAGCCCGAGCGCCGCCUGCAUCCAGUGCCUCGACUGCCGCCUCAUGUACCCACCGCACAAGUUCGUGGUGCACUCGCACAAGGCCCUGGAGAACCGGACCUGCCACUGGGGCUUCGACUCGGCCAACUGGCGGGCCUACAUCCUGCUCAGCCAGGACUACACGGGCAAGGAGGAGCAGGCGCGCCUCGGCCGCUGUCUGGACGACGUCAAGGAGAAGUUCGACUACGGCAACAAGUACAAGCGGCGGGUGCCCCGGGUCUCCGAGCCCCCAGCCUCCGUAAGAAAAGCAGACGACGCCCCCUCCCAGCACCCCACAUCCUCCGAGAAGGACAAGCAGUCUGGCUGGCUGCGGACUCUGGCCGGCUCCUCCAGCAAGAGCCUGGGCUGCAUCCACCCUCGCCAGCGCCUCUCUGCCUUCCGACCCUGGUCCCCUGCGGUUUCUGCGAGUGACAAAGAGCUCUCCCCACACCUCCCAGCCCUGAUUCGAGACAGCUUUUACUCCUACAAGAGUUUUGAGACGGGCGUGGCCCCCAACGUGGCCCUAGCACCGCCAGCCCAGCACAAGGUGGUGAGCAGCCCGCCCUGCGCCACGGUCGUCUCCCGGGCCCCCGAACCCGUCACCAGCUGCGUCCAGCCUCGGAAGCGGAAGCUGACGGUGGACACCCCUGGAGCCCCGGAGACACCGGCACCCGGGUCUGCCCCAGAGGAGGACAAGGACUCAGAGGCCGAGGUGGAGGUGGAGGGAAGAGAGGAGUUCACCUCCUCCCUGUCCUCGCUCUCCUCCCCGUCCUUUACCUCAUCCGGCUCCGCCAAGGACCUGAGCUCCCCGGGCCUGCUUGCCCUGCCUGCGGCCCCCGGCGCCCCCGAUGCCGCGGCCCCCGCCGACGCCCCGAGCAGCGGGCUGGAGGUGGAGCUGGAGCACCUGCGGCAGGCCCUGGAGGGCGGCCUGGACACCAAGGAAGCCAAAGAGAAGUUCCUGCACGAGGUGGUGAAGAUGCGCGUGAAGCAGGAGGAGAAGCUGAGCGCCGCGCUGCAGGCCAAGCGCAGCCUCCACCAGGAGCUGGAGUUCCUGCGCGUGGCCAAGAAGGAGAAGCUGCGGGAGGCCACGGAGGCCAAGCGCAGCCUCCGGAAGGAGAUCGAGCGGCUCCGGGCCGAGAAUGAGAAGAAGAUGAAGGAGGCCAACGAGGCGCGGCUCCGCCUGAAGCGGGAGCUGGAGCAGGCGCGGCAGGCGCGCGUGUGCGACAAGGGCUGCGAGGCCGGCCGCCUGCGGGCCAAGUACUCGGCCCAGAUCGAGGACCUGCAGGUGAAGCUGCAGCACGCGGAGGCCGAUCGCGAGCAGCUGCGGGCUGACCUCCUGCGGGAGCGGGAGGCCCGGGAGCACCUGGAGAAGGUGGUGAAGGGGCUGCAGGAGCAGCUGUGGCCACGGCCCCGCUCUGAGGCCACGGGCAGCGAGAGCACGGCCGAGCUGGAGCCCUAGCCGGACCCACUGUCUGCUGCGCGGAGCGGACGCCGCAGGGCCGGCGGGCGGGCGGGCGGGCGGUCAGCGGGGCUGGGGGCUCUGUGCCGGCGGGGCCGCUCCCCACCCCCACCCCCCACCCCCGGCCCCCCCAGCCCUGGUCCAUAUAGCACAACGUCUUACUGUGCCUAGAACCAAGCAAGUGUUUGGAACCACAUACUUUUGGAAUCCACUGCAAAAUUUUCUACUGGCCAAGGUCAAGCGAGCAAGCCGGUCCCCAACUGCAGCCGGAGUCGAGGCCAGCUCGGUAGCUGCAGCUGGCCCUCCGCUUGCUGGAUCGUUCUAACAUUUACACUUUUGUGAUAAGCUAUUUAAAACCCAUAAGGAGACUUGGUAUUCAAAGAAGUCAACAUGUUUUUUAAUGACUAACUUUUAAAAGCCCCACCCACACGUGACGCCACCUGAGGACCCGCAGGGAGCCAGGGUGGCAGCCGCCCUGCCCCUCGAAGCCAUCACAGCGCGCCCGCGCCCGCGGCCGCGUGACAACACAAAGGGUUUUUCUCCAGAGUCUAUUUUUUCAGCCACAAGGACCCCCGUCUCCCGUGCUGCCACCGGGAAGGGCACGGAGAGCACCGCGCAGGCACGAUGAGCUGGAACACUGCCGCCUUACCCGUCCGCCGCUCCGGCCCGCCUUCCACAGGAAAAAAACCACAGCUCCACCCUCGUACCCGCCGGGAGCGUCUGCAUCACCGUCCCCUUCUUUCCUUUGCUGCUGCUAAUGACAAUAUGAU